UUAUCCGGAUUUAUUGGGUUUAAAGGGAGCGUAGGCGGACGUUUAAGUCAGUUGUGAAAGUUUGCGGCUCAACCGUAAAAUUGCAGUUGAUACUGGGUGUCUUGAGUACAGUAGAGGCAGGCGGAAUUCGUGGUGUAGCGGUGAAAUGCUUAGAUAUCACGAAGAACUCCGAUUGCGAAGGCAGCUUGCUGGACUGUAACUGACGCUGAUGCUCGAAAGUGUGGGUAUCAAACAGGAUUAGAUACCCUGGUAGCCCACACAGUAAACGAUGAAUACUCGCUGUUUGCGAUAUACAGUAAGCGGCCAAGCGAAAGCGUUAAGUAUUCCACCUGGGGAGUACGCCGGCAACGGUGAAACUCAAAGGAAUUGACGGGGGCCCGCACAAGCGGAGGAACAUGUGGUUUAAUUC
This 409-nucleotide ribosomal RNA is filed under the name uncultured bacterium. RNAcentral describes it as "bacterial SSU rRNA". It matches the Rfam family "Bacterial small subunit ribosomal RNA", at positions 541 to 952 of the family's 1533-position model. The record is from RNAcentral.